AUGAUCGUGAGUGACUUCGCACAUCCGCCGGCACGGGUGGCCGGGUGCCCGUAUGCGGUUGCCCCCCGGGGCGGAUGGAGGCUUAAC
RNAcentral lists this small RNA (87 nucleotides) under Candidatus Competibacter denitrificans Run_A_D11. RNAcentral describes it as "t44 RNA". It matches the Rfam family "t44 RNA". Rfam says of the family: This family consists of a number of bacterial RNA genes of between 135 and 170 bases in length. The t44 gene is found between the map and rpsB genes in all species in the full alignment apart from Shigella flexneri. The function of this RNA is unknown. The record is from Rfam by way of RNAcentral. Lineage: Bacteria; Pseudomonadati; Pseudomonadota; Gammaproteobacteria; Candidatus Competibacteraceae.